GGGAUAGAAUUCCAGGAGUAGCGGUGAAAUGCGUAGAUAUCUGGAGGAAUACCAAAGGCGAAGGCAGUCCCCUGGUCCGAUACUGACACUGAGGUACGAAAGCGUGAGGAGCAAACAGGAUUAGAUACCCUGGUAGUCCACGCCCUAAACGAUGUCGAUUAGCCAUUGGAAGGACCCCUUUUCCUUUCAGUGACGUAGCUAACGCGUUAAAUCGACCGCCUGGGAAGUACGACCGCAAGGUUAAAACUCAAAGGAAUUGACGGGGACCUGAACAAGCGGUGAAUGAUGUGGAUUAAUUCGAUGCUACGCGAAGAACCUUACCUACCUUUGACAUGGCCAAAGUUCUACCGAGAGGCGGAAGUACUCGUAAGAGGAUUGGCGCACAGGUGCUGCAUGGUUGUCGUCAGUUCGUGUCGUGAGAUGUUGGGUUCAGUCCCGCAACGAACGCAACCCUUAUCUUUAAUUGCUCCUAUUUUAACAGGCACUUUAAAGAAACUGCCAAUGAUAAGUUGGAGGAAGGUGGGGAUCACGUCAAGUCCGCAUGGCCUUUAUAGGUAGGGCUUCACACGUCAUACAAUGGUUAGAACAAAGAGCUGCAAAUUCGUAAGAAGGAGCCAAUCUCACAAACCUAACCUCAGUUCGAAUUGCGGUCUGCAACUCGAGCGCAUGAAGCCGGAAUCGCUAGUAAUCGUGGAUCAGAAUGCCACGGUGAAUACGUUCUUAGGUCUU
RNAcentral lists this ribosomal RNA (729 nucleotides) under Candidatus Tremblayella phenacoccinincola. RNAcentral's name for it is "bacterial SSU rRNA". It matches the Rfam family "Bacterial small subunit ribosomal RNA", at positions 658 to 1382 of the family's 1533-position model. Lineage: Bacteria; Pseudomonadati; Pseudomonadota; Betaproteobacteria. The record is from RNAcentral.